GGCGGAUGUAGCCAAGUGGAUCAAGGGAGG
RNAcentral lists this transfer RNA (30 nucleotides) under Stigmaphyllon puberum. RNAcentral describes it as "partial tRNA-His". The record is from RNAcentral. Lineage: Eukaryota; Viridiplantae; Streptophyta; Magnoliopsida; Malpighiales; Malpighiaceae.